GUGCCAGCAGCCGCGGUAAUACGUAGGUGGCAAGCGUUGUCCGGAUUUACUGGGCGUAAAGAGCGCGCAGGCGGUCGUUCAAGUCGAGUGUGAAAGCCCCCGGCUCAACUGGGGAGGGUCACUCGAUACUGAUCGACUCGAAGGCAGAAGAGGGAAGCGGAAUUCCCGGUGUAGUGGUGAAAUGCGUAGAUAUCGGGAGGAACACCAGUGGCGAAGGCGGCUUUCUGGUCUGCUCUUGACGCUGAGGCGCGAAAGCUAGGGUAGCAAACGGGAUUAGAUACCCCGGUAGUCC
RNAcentral lists this ribosomal RNA (292 nucleotides) under uncultured bacterium. RNAcentral describes it as "partial 16S ribosomal RNA". It matches the Rfam family "Bacterial small subunit ribosomal RNA", at positions 505 to 796 of the family's 1533-position model. The record is from RNAcentral.